Molecule: unclassified non-coding RNA, 1571 nt
Filed under: Drosophila mojavensis
Lineage: Eukaryota; Metazoa; Arthropoda; Insecta; Diptera; Drosophilidae
Description: GI20208
Source: RNAcentral
CACCAUUUUUUCAUUAACAGCCUGUAAAAAUUGUCAAGCAAAACACAACGUUGCCUUACUGAUUUUCUAUUAAUCAAAAUCAAAAGAAAAUUAAAAUCCGAGAAAUAUCAAACUUUCAAACGGACCAAAAACAGCUGUACAAACGCACCACAAACGUAUUCCAGAAAGCACAUUUUAAGCGAGCACAAAGAUGGAGAAUAACGAGGCGCCCGCACCUUCCGGUUCCAACAACAAUGACAACAACAAUGCUGCACAGAAACGCCUGCAGCAGACACAGGCCAAAGUGGACGAAGUGGUGGGCAUAAUGCGCGUCAAUGUCGAGAAGGUGCUCGAACGUGAUCAGAAACUAUCGGAGCUGGGCGAGCGAGCCGAUCAGCUAGAGCAGGGCGCCUCACAGUUCGAACAGCAGGCGGGCAAACUGAAGCGCAAACAAUGGUGGGCCAACAUGAAGAUGAUGAUCAUUCUCGGCGUCAUUGCCGUCGUCUUGCUGAUCAUUAUAAUAGUGUCGAUUUACAAUUGAUAAACAAAAGAAAAAGUUAAAGCAAAAGCAAAAAUAAUAUGCAGCAGGGCAACUUGUUGCGCUUAAUCCAAUACAUACGCAUAAUUCUAAGGCUAUCAACAACAUCAGCUACACGUAUUUAGAAACACAUAUACAUAUAUAUAUGUAUAUAUACAUGUGCACACACAGCUCAUCCAUAUGUGUGUGUGUGUGUGUAUGUAGAACAAAAUUUUAGUUUAAGCAAAAAAGAUGCUAAGCGAAAGAUUACUUUGCUAAACAAUCGUGUGUAGUUAAUUUUAAGAGCUAUGGACUUUGCCCAGCAUAACUGUAGCUGUAACUGUAAAUAUACAUACACUAUGUGUGAGAAUGUAAGCGGAGACAACAGCAGCAGCAGCAGCAGCAGCUCAGUGUCUAACUGAAGUUCUAUGCCCUAAUCAACCCGUUUCUUUUGCCUGACAUUUUUACAGUAUGCGCUUUGCCCUCCGGCAGCAGCAGCAGCAGCGAUCAUGUCACAAAAUCCGUGACCGAGGCACCCCAUUAGAUGGAACCCCAACAAGCAAGCACAAGCAUCCUGGAAUCGAAGACAACGAACAGCAACUGUGUGGCAAUUUCUGAUAGAGGACUUGCUGCUGCCUUCUUCGCAUUGGCCUUAAGCGCAACAAUUCAAUUCAAUUUAACACAAUGAAAACUGUGUCUAAAACAAAUAACAAAAACAAAAAUUGCAAAAAAAAAGAAUGAAACCAACAUAAAACACUUAACACAGAUUGUUAUUUAUAAACAUUUUAAUCUUAAAUGUAAAAAAAAAAAUCACACAUAUGUAUUGUAACAAAUUUGUGUAACAACAACAACAACAACGCACAGGUGUUGCGUAUGUCUGUGGCUGUGUGUGUGUUAGUUUUCCUUUAUCCAUUAAGCAGUCGCUUACAUCGGCACAAAUUGAAUGUUAACUGUUUACACGUUUAGCCUAGCUAAGUCUAAGGCACUUAGCACAUGUAUUACAAAAAGAAAAUUGUUUAUAACUUAAAGCCACACACACACAUACACGUUCACACGCACACAAUCACACUUUUUA